AUGGCUAAUCCCAUUGCUAAGAGCAAACUACUUCGUCCCAUGUUCGAUCCACGCUGAUUCCAACAAAAGCGAAUGCAACAUGUUCUGUCUUGACUGCACUUCUAGUUCCUUUUGCUCUUACUGUUUGACAAAUCACAAAAACCAUCGUGUCCUUCAGGUUUGUUCUUCAUCAUAUCUCUCAAUUUGUUUUUCUCUUAAAUUCACAAAAAAAACAUAAUAAUAAAAUCGAAUGUUUACCCUUAGAUACGAAGAUCAUCGUACCACAACGUUGUGAGGGUGAAUGAGAUUCAGAAGUACAUAGACAUCUCUUGUGUUCAGACUUAUAUAAUCAACAGCGCAAGGAUCGUGUUCUUGAACGAACGUCCUCAGCCAAGAAUCGGCAAAGGCGUUACCAAUACAUGCGAAAUAUGUUGCAGAAGUCUCCUUGAUUCUUUCCGUUUCUGCUCUCUUGGUUGCAAAGUAAAUACAAAUAUCUUUUCUCAUUCCACUUCAGAAAAUCUCAUCCUCUGUUUUUGUUUUUGAUCUUAAAUAAAUGCAUAAAUUAUUGUCUAAAUUUUAAAUUUGUAUACUAAUCUUAAUUUAAAAGUUAUAGUUUCAAAAGAAAAGUUGAAACUACUACUUUUAAACUAUAUUAUUAAUUUUUUUAAAUGUCAGUUAAUAUUUUUUGAAUAGAGCAUACGAAUAAUUUGAUAUGUCACUGACCAUGUUGAUCUUGUUUUGGGUGAUUCAGCUUGGAGGGAUGAAAAGUGGAAAUCAAAGUCUAACCUUCUCUUUGAAAGGGAAGCAUGGGAGGGAGUAUCAAGCUGGGGAGGACUCUGAUGAGGCGACCACACCAACUAAGAUACGCAAGACAUGUGCUUUCAACCGUCUGAUGAGUGGUCUCUCCA
RNAcentral lists this long non-coding RNA (887 nucleotides) under Brassica napus (rape). Its description in RNAcentral is "long non-coding RNA (BNAP_LNC022470)". Lineage: Eukaryota; Viridiplantae; Streptophyta; Magnoliopsida; Brassicales; Brassicaceae. The record is from RNAcentral.